RNAcentral lists this ribosomal RNA (266 nucleotides) under uncultured bacterium. RNAcentral describes it as "partial 16S ribosomal RNA". It matches the Rfam family "Bacterial small subunit ribosomal RNA", at positions 793 to 1055 of the family's 1533-position model. The record is from RNAcentral.
GUCCUAGCCCUAAACGAUGCUCAUUAGGUGUGGGAGGUAUCGACCCCUUCCGCGCCGAAGCUAACGCAUUAAAUGAGCCACCUGGGGAGUACGGCCGCAAGGUUGAAACUCAAAGGAAUUGACGGGGGCCCGCACAAGCGGUGGAGCAUGUGGUUUAAUUCGACGCAACGCGAAAACCUUACCUGGGCUUGAACUACGGAUGGUAAGCCGAUGGAAACAUUGGCUGACUCGCAAGAGAGUCCGCAGAGGUGCUGCAUGGUUGUCGU